AACAGAAAUCAUAUUUGCCAGCCCUAACUGAAGGAAUUGUGAAACAUCUCAGAAGAUUGUAAGUUAUUAUAAAAAUGUUGUAAUUACCAUGCUAUUAACUAUGCCUUAUAGGAGUUGAAACUUUUGUUUAACCAAAAAUUAUUUCAAGAACAGACAGCUAAUUACUUACAUUUAGAAAAUAUAUUGCAUACAAAGAUAUGGAGCAUUUUAAAACGUAGCUUUAGGUUGAAAUGCAGUAGUCC
This 242-nucleotide long non-coding RNA is filed under the name Homo sapiens (human). RNAcentral describes it as "HSALNT0315398". Lineage: Eukaryota; Metazoa; Chordata; Mammalia; Primates; Hominidae. The record is from RNAcentral.